AAAGAGCUCGUAGGCGGUCUGUCGCGUCGAAUGUGAAAAUCCGAGGCUCAACCUCGGACCUGCAUUCGAUACGGGCAGACUAGAGUUCGGUAGGGGAGUCUGGAAUUCCUGGUGUAGCGGUGAAAUGCGCAGAUAUCAGGAGGAACACCGGUGGCGAAGGCGGGACUCUGGGCCGAUACUGACGCUGAGGAGCGAAAGCGUGGGGAGCAAACAGGAUUAGAUACCCGAGU
RNAcentral lists this ribosomal RNA (230 nucleotides) under uncultured bacterium. RNAcentral's name for it is "partial 16S ribosomal RNA". It matches the Rfam family "Bacterial small subunit ribosomal RNA", at positions 562 to 791 of the family's 1533-position model. The record is from RNAcentral.